UCUUCGGAGAGUUUGAUCCUGGCUCAGGAUGAACGCUGGCGGCGUGCCUAAUACAUGCAAGUCGAGCGAACUGAUUAGAAGCUUGCUUCUAUGACGUUAGCGGCGGACGGGUGAGUAACACGUGGGCAACCUGCCUGUAAGACUGGGAUAACUU
Molecule: ribosomal RNA, 154 nt
Filed under: Priestia megaterium
Lineage: Bacteria; Bacillati; Bacillota; Bacilli; Caryophanales; Bacillaceae
Description: Bacillus megaterium partial 16S ribosomal RNA
Rfam family: Bacterial small subunit ribosomal RNA
Source: RNAcentral